This 2621-nucleotide ribosomal RNA is filed under the name Yersinia ruckeri. Its description in RNAcentral is "partial 23S ribosomal RNA". It matches the Rfam family "Bacterial large subunit ribosomal RNA", at positions 324 to 2925 of the family's 2925-position model. The record is from RNAcentral. Lineage: Bacteria; Pseudomonadati; Pseudomonadota; Gammaproteobacteria; Enterobacterales; Yersiniaceae.
GUGUGUUAGUGGAAGCGUCUGGAAAGUCGCACGGUACAGGGUGAUAGUCCCGUACACAAAAACACACUGGCUGUGAACUCGAUGAGUAGGGCGGGACACGUGACAUCCUGUCUGAAUAUGGGGGGACCAUCCUCCAAGGCUAAAUACUCCUGACUGACCGAUAGUGAACCAGUACCGUGAGGGAAAGGCGAAAAGAACCCCGGCGAGGGGAGUGAAAUAGAACCUGAAACCGUGUACGUACAAGCAGUGGGAGCACCUUCGUGGUGUGACUGCGUACCUUUUGUAUAAUGGGUCAGCGACUUAUAUUUUGUAGCAAGGUUAACCGAAUAGGGGAGCCGUAGGGAAACCGAGUCUUAACUGGGCGUCUAGUUGCAAGGUAUAGACCCGAAACCCGGUGAUCUAGCCAUGGGCAGGUUGAAGGUUGGGUAACACUAACUGGAGGACCGAACCGACUAAUGUUGAAAAAUUAGCGGAUGACUUGUGGCUGGGGGUGAAAGGCCAAUCAAACCGGGAGAUAGCUGGUUCUCCCCGAAAGCUAUUUAGGUAGCGCCUCGUGAACUCAUCUUCGGGGGUAGAGCACUGUUUCGGCUAGGGGUCCAUCCCGGAUUACCAAACCGAUGCAAACUCCGAAUACCGAAGAAUGUUAUCACGGGAGACACACGGCGGGUGCUAACGUCCGUCGUGAAGAGGGAAACAACCCAGACCGCCAGCUAAGGUCCCAAAGUCAUGGUUAAGUGGGAAACGAUGUGGGAAGGCAUAGACAGCCAGGAUGUUGGCUUAGAAGCAGCCAUCAUUUAAAGAAAGCGUAAUAGCUCACUGGUCGAGUCGGCCUGCGCGGAAGAUGUAACGGGGCUAAACCAUGCACCGAAGCUGCGGCAGCGACGCUUAGGCGUUGUUGGGUAGGGGAGCGUUCUGUAAGCCGUUGAAGGUGGCCUGUGAGGGCUGCUGGAGGUAUCAGAAGUGCGAAUGCUGACAUAAGUAACGAUAAUGCGGGUGAAAAACCCGCACGCCGGAAGACCAAGGGUUCCUGUCCAACGUUAAUCGGGGCAGGGUGAGUCGACCCCUAAGGCGAGGCUGAAAAGCGUAGUCGAUGGGAAACAGGUUAAUAUUCCUGUACUGGGUGUGACUGCGAAGGGGGGACGGAGAAGGCUAGGCUAGCCGGGCGACGGUUGUCCCGGUUUAAGCAUGUAGGCGGAGCGACUUGGUAAAUCCGGUUGCUUAUCAACGCUGAGGUGUGAUGACGAGCCACUACGGUGGUGAAGUAGUUGAUGCCAAGCUUCCAGGAAAAGCCUCUAAGCAUCAGGUGACAUUCAAUCGUACCCCAAACCGACACAGGUGGUCAGGUAGAGAAUACUCAGGCGCUUGAGAGAACUCGGGUGAAGGAACUAGGCAAAAUGGUGCCGUAACUUCGGGAGAAGGCACGCUGGCAUUAGGUAAAGAGACUUGCUCUCGGCGCCGAAGCCAGUCGCAGAUACCAGCUGGCUGCAACUGUUUAAUAAAAACACAGCACUGUGCAAACACGAAAGUGGACGUAUACGGUGUGACGCCUGCCCGGUGCUGGAAGGUUAAUUGAUGGGGUCAGCCGCAAGGCGAAGCUCUUGAUCGAAGCCCCAGUAAACGGCGGCCGUAACUAUAACGGUCCUAAGGUAGCGAAAUUCCUUGUCGGGUAAGUUCCGACCUGCACGAAUGGCGUAAUGAUGGCCAGGCUGUCUCCACCCGAGACUCAGUGAAAUUGAACUCGCUGUGAAGAUGCAGUGUACCCGCGGCAAGACGGAAAGACCCCGUGAACCUUUACUAUAGCUUGACACUGAAUAUUGAGCCUUGAUGUGUAGGAUAGGUGGGAGGCAUCGAAGCGUGGACGCCAGUCUGCGUGGAGCCAACCUUGAAAUACCACCCUUUAAUGUUUGAUGUUCUAACUCGGCCCCAUAAUCUGGGGUGAGGACAGUGUCUGGUGGGUAGUUUGACUGGGGCGGUCUCCUCCCAAAGAGUAACGGAGGAGCACGAAGGUUAGCUAAUCACGGUCGGACAUCGUGAGGUUAGUGCAAAGGCAUAAGCUAGCUUGACUGCGAGAGUGACGGCUCGAGCAGGUACGAAAGUAGGUCUUAGUGAUCCGGUGGUUCUGAAUGGAAGGGCCAUCGCUCAACGGAUAAAAGGUACUCCGGGGAUAACAGGCUGAUACCGCCCAAGAGUUCAUAUCGACGGCGGUGUUUGGCACCUCGAUGUCGGCUCAUCACAUCCUGGGGCUGAAGUAGGUCCCAAGGGUAUGGCUGUUCGCCAUUUAAAGUGGUACGCGAGCUGGGUUUAGAACGUCGUGAGACAGUUCGGUCCCUAUCUGCCGUGGGCGUUGGAAGAUUGAGAGGGGCUGCUCCUAGUACGAGAGGACCGGAGUGGACGCAUCACUGGUGUUCGGGUUGUCAUGCCAAUGGCAUUGCCCGGUAGCUAAAUGCGGAAAAGAUAAGCGCUGAAAGCAUCUAAGCGCGAAACUUGCCUCGAGAUGAGUCUUCCCUGGGGCUUUAAGCCCCCUGAAGGAACGUUAAAGACUAUGACGUUGAUAGGCUGGGUGUGUAAGUGCAGCGAUGCAUUGAGCUAACCAGUACUAAUGAUCCGUGAGGCUUAACCUU